This is a non-coding RNA of Glycine max (soybean), 77 nucleotides long. NCBI's taxonomy places the organism in Eukaryota, Viridiplantae, Streptophyta, Magnoliopsida, Fabales, Fabaceae. The record is from Rfam.
AAGAGAUAUGAUGAUGUUUAUCCAUCAAUUCUGCAAUAGAAUGAUGAUUACUAACAUGCACUACCAUCUGAUCUCUU